RNAcentral lists this ribosomal RNA (468 nucleotides) under uncultured bacterium. RNAcentral's name for it is "partial 16S ribosomal RNA". It matches the Rfam family "Bacterial small subunit ribosomal RNA", at positions 28 to 507 of the family's 1533-position model. The record is from RNAcentral.
GACGAACGCUGGCGGCGUGCUUAACACAUGCAAGUCGAACGGAAAGGCCCUGCUUUUGUGGGGUGCUCGAGUGGCGAACGGGUGAGUAACACGUGAGUAACCUGCCCUUGACUUUGGGAUAACUUCAGGAAACUGGGGCUAAUACCGGAUAGGAGCUCCUGCUGCAUGGUGGGGGUUGGAAAGUUUCGGCGGUUGGGGAUGGACUCGCGGCUUAUCAGCUUGUUGGUGGGGUAGUGGCUUACCAAGGCUUUGACGGGUAGCCGGCCUGAGAGGGUGACCGGCCACAUUGGGACUGAGAUACGGCCCAGACUCCUACGGGAGGCAGCAGUGGGGAAUAUUGCACAAUGGGCGGAAGCCUGAUGCAGCAACGCCGCGUGCGGGAUGACGGACUUCGGGUUGUAAACCGCUUUCGCCUGUGACGAGGCGUGAGUGACGGUAAUGGGUAAAGAAGCACCGGCUAACUACGUG